This is a long non-coding RNA of Cyprinus carpio carpio, 942 nucleotides long. NCBI's taxonomy places the organism in Eukaryota, Metazoa, Chordata, Actinopteri, Cypriniformes, Cyprinidae. The record is from Ensembl.
AUAAAUACUGCUGUGUUGCAGUUGUUGUUUGGAUGUAUACCUUGUUUGAAUGAUCACACGUAUGGCAGUUAGCAUAAACUAGAGAUUACGGUUUAUAAAGUUUUAAACAUGGAUAUGUUUAUUACAAAAACUCAUUGAUUCACUACAGAAGGCCUUUAUUCACCUCCUGGAGCAAUGUGGAGCACUUUAUAUGAUGGACGGAUGUGCUUUUUGGACAGUUGAACAGAAACAUCCACCCACUACCAUAAUAAAGCUUGGAAGAGCCAGGACAACUUUUAAUAUAACUUUAAUUGAAUUCGUCUGAAAGAAGAAAGUCGUACACACCUAGAAUGGCUUGAGGUAAACUAUGCCUAGAUUCAGGCCCAGGAAGACGGAUGGGGACUCCAGCCACAGUCACUGUUUGAGAGUGCAGCCAGUGAAGUUGCACAGGGGAAGUCAGUGAGGGCAGCAGCAAAGCCAUGUGACUUUAUAUCACUUUAUUAAGAAGUGAGUGAGGGCACAUCUAAGACAGUAAAGUGUUCACAGCAGAGCAGAAGGCCAUACUGUCCGAGUUCCUCCUCAGGGCUGCUGACUUAUAGUAGGGUCUAAGUCCCAAAGAGAUUCGCAAAUUUGCUUAUGAACUGGCAAAGGUUCACAACUGCCAGCAGCCCAAGUCAUGGGAGGAGCACGGAGCGGCUGGGGCGGACUGGUUAGAUGGUUUCCUGAACAGGCACCCGAACCUUUCCCUGAGAUUGACACAAUUAAGCUAGGGCAACACAUUUUAAUAAAACCAACAAUCUGACAGAGCUAUUUCAAAAACAUAAUUUCACUGCCAAGGAUAUCUGGAAUAUGGAUGAGACGGGGGUCACCACUGUCCAGAAACUGGAGAAGAUUCUUGCCAGAAGAGGCCAAAAGCAAGCGUGGAACACUUGUCACUGUGGCAUGUGCAGUGAAUCCCUCCAC